AUGACUUCCUUCACAAAGGGUGAGGAGGAGCGCCAUGACGAUCACCAAAGAAAGGCAUACGAGAAUCUACAGCACAAUCAGCAGAGGAGAAUGCAGCUCCAGAAUGAUCUUCAGUCACAGCAGCGAAAUCAUCGCCUGAGCAGGGCAGCCUGGAUGCAGGGCCGCUGGUUGGAGAUCAGUGAGCAGGAGCGCAGGGCUCAGAUCAAGAACCAAAAGCUGCUGCAGGACUUUCAGAGAGCACAACACACGCUCAGUGACAUGGUGGCCCGCACCGAAGCCAUGAACACUAUACGGCAGGUACAGCAGCACUUAAAGAGCUAUAUUCAGACGAUGGAAAAGGAAGAAGGUAUCAAGUCUGAACACAGGUCUGACUUUAGAGGCCACCUGUCCUCCAAUUUUCCAGACGCAUCUCAGCCUUCACACACCAUGCUAAACACUCAUCGGAAAGUGAAAGACAUCAAGCAAAAUCCUGAAAGAUGCAACCAUGAUCCUUACAUUCCACCCACUUGGUUAACUGGCUCACAGCCUUCAAUUUCCGGACUCCCCCAAAACAAUAUCGCAAAGGAUUACAAAAACCUUCAGAACAAUCAAACCUUAAAUAAUCCCUUGCCACCUUACUAUUCUUUACCUGGCGAUUUAGUCCAUCAGUCACAUUCUCCAGUCCAGCAAAAGCCACCAUCAAUGGACCAUCUGUGGGCUGGUAUAAGGCAAGAGUUUAUGCCUACAGCUCACUUCACUCCUCCUGCUGCUUCCCAGCCACGACUUCCUGUGCUGAACCCCAUGACGUGGGGUAUGAUGGAUGUACCAGACCCCAGUGAGGAAAGAAUCCAAUGCAGUGAGCCAGACAAGGAAAAGGUGACAAAAGCAAAACCAAAACACAGGCGGAAAGGGAAAGAGAGUGAUCGGUCUUCUGAGCUCGACUGUAGACCAGUGCGUCUAUCAAUCAACCAUGAAGAAAGUAGUGAAGGUAGCAAUGUGUCCUCUAAAGUUUCUGGGAUGCAAAAACGGAGAAAGAAAAAAACAGAUGGGACAAAAUCAAAUUCUACAGAAAAUAGGAAUGAAUCUCACGGCUCUUCCACUGUGUCACAAGAUGCUUCAGAUAGUAACUUGGGCACAAAAAUCAACCAAAAACACCAAAAGCAAUUUAAUAAGUGCAACAGCAAAGAAUCCGUUAUCGCAGAGAAGACUGUUGAUGCAGUGAUGCAAGAUGAAGACGAACAAGAAGAAAGCAAGAGCCAAGAAAUUUCUCAGAGUAGUGUCAGCUCUGGAAAGAAAGAUGGAUCUGAAGGACUUAAUGUUAGAGAGGAAGAAGAUUCUAAUGAAGGAGAUGAUGACAGUCAUGACAUCAUUGUGGCAGAGGAGAAAAUAAGUCACAGAGAAGCUAAAGAUGAAGACGAGGAUGAAGAAAGCACAGAUGGAGAUGAGGAAGCAGGAUUUGAUGAUGAAGCACAGGGAUGCGAUGAAGAAGGGAGUGAGACAGUGGUGGGAAAGAGAGAUGAGACUGAACCCAGUGAUAGAGAAGAUCCAGAAAGGGAAGGCGUUGUUCCAGAUGACAUUCCAGAUAGUGGAGAUGGAGGAGAAACAACGGAGGAAGAGGAAAGAGAAAAUAGUUUUCAAAAUACAAAGGAGGCUAGAAAGACUCAAGAAACUGUAGAAGAUGAGAGAGAAAUUCACAAAAGCCUCGAGGAGUCUGAAGAGGAAGAGGUUUACAAUCAAGAAGUAGAAGAUGAUGAAGAAGAAGAUGAUGAGGAGGUUGUGGUUGAGAAAUCAUACCCCUGGUCAAGAGACCCUUUUGAUGAUCAUACAAAAUGCCCUGAGGAUGAUGAGGAUGAUAUUGAAGGUCUUCUCAACCCUGUCAACUCCCAAACACAGCAGGAGGAUGAUAUGAAGGAGACAGAGCAAUCAAAUGAUCAACCAUCUGAUUCAGAGGAGGAAAAUCUACCACAGAAGAGUCAUCCUGCAGCCACAAAUGAGAUAGUGGAGUCUGAUGAUGAGUUUGACCACUUCUAUGAUUAAACCAGAAACUAGAACAGAAAGAUGGGAAACAGAAAAAGAAUUGAACAGAAAGAGAAAACCAAUAAAGGAUGAAUAAGCUGGACA
Cyprinus carpio (common carp) is the source of this 2100-nucleotide long non-coding RNA. Lineage: Eukaryota; Metazoa; Chordata; Actinopteri; Cypriniformes; Cyprinidae. The record is from Ensembl.